This 459-nucleotide ribosomal RNA is filed under the name uncultured bacterium. RNAcentral describes it as "partial 16S ribosomal RNA". It matches the Rfam family "Bacterial small subunit ribosomal RNA", at positions 338 to 795 of the family's 1533-position model. The record is from RNAcentral.
CCUACGGGGAGCAGCAGUGAGGAAUAUUGGUCAAUGGGCUAAGGCCUGAACCAGCCAAGUCGCGUGAGGGAAGACGGUCCUAUGGAUUGUAAACCUCUUUUGUCGGGGAGCAACGAGGCCACGUGUGGCCGAAGUGAGAGUACCCGAAGAAAAAGCAUCGGCUAACUCCGUGCCAGCAGCCGCGGUAAUACGGGGGAUGCGAGCGUUAGCCGGAUUUAUUGGGUUAAAAGGGUGCGUAGGCGGGUUAUCAAGUCAGUGGUAAAAUCGUGGAGCUCAACUCCAUCCAGCCGUUGAAACUGAUGAUCUUGAGUGGGCGAGAAGGAUGCGGAAUGCGUGGUGUAGCGGUGAAAUGCAUAGAUAUCACGCAGAACUCCGAUGGCGAAGGCAGCAUACCGGCGCCCGACUGACGCUGAAGCACGAAGGCGAGGGUAGCGAACGGGAUUAGAUACCCCGGUAGUC